Molecule: ribosomal RNA, 495 nt
Filed under: uncultured bacterium
Lineage: Bacteria
Description: partial 16S ribosomal RNA
Rfam family: Bacterial small subunit ribosomal RNA
Source: RNAcentral
GAUGAACGCUGGCGGCGUGCCUAAUACAUGCAAGUAGAACGCUGAAGGAGGAGCUUGCUCUUCUGGAUGAGUUGCGAACGGGUGAGUAACGCGUAGGUAACCUGCCUGGUAGCGGGGGAUAACUAUUGGAAACGAUAGCUAAUACCGCAUGACAACAGUUAUUGCAUGAUAACUGUUUAAAAGGGGCAACUGCUCCACUACCAGAUGGACCUGCGUUGUUUUAGCUAGUUGGUGAGGUAACGGCUCACCAAGGCGACGAUACAUAGCCGACCUGAGAGGGUGAUCGGCCACACUGGGACUGAGACACGGCCCAGACUCCUACGGGAGGCAGCAGUAGGGAAUCUUCGGCAAUGGACGGAAGUCUGACCGAGCAACGCCGCGUGAGGGAAGAAGGUUUUCGGAUCGGAAAGCUCUGUUGUAAGAGAAGAACGAGUGUGAGAGUGGAAAGUUCACACUGUGACGGUAUCUUACCAGAAAGGGACGGCUAACUACGUG